AUUGAACGCUGGCGGCAGGCCUAACACAUGCAAGUCGAGCGGAUGAAGGGAGCUUGCUCCUGGAUUCAGCGGCGGACGGGUGAGUAAUGCCUAGGAAUCUGCCUGGUAGUGGGGGAUAACGUCCGGAAACGGGCGCUAAUACCGCAUACGUCCUGAGGGAGAAAGUGGGGGAUCUUCGGACCUCACGCUAUCAGAUGAGCCUAGGUCGGAUUAGCUAGUUGGUGGGGUAAAGGCCUACCAAGGCGACGAUCCGUAACUGGUCUGAGAGGAUGAUCAGUCACACGGGAGCUGAGACACGGUCCAUACUCCUACGGGACGCAGCAGUGGGGAAUAGUGGACAAUGGGCGAAAGCCUGAUCCAGCCAUGCCGCGUGUGUGAAGAAGGUCUUCGGAUUGGAAAGCACGUUAAGUUGGGAGGAAGGGCAGUAAGUUAAUACCUUGCUGUUUUGACGGUACCAGCAGAAUAAGCACCGGCUAACUUCGUG
This 484-nucleotide ribosomal RNA is filed under the name uncultured bacterium. RNAcentral's name for it is "partial 16S ribosomal RNA". It matches the Rfam family "Bacterial small subunit ribosomal RNA", at positions 30 to 507 of the family's 1533-position model. The record is from RNAcentral.